GAUGAACGCUGGCGGCGUGCCUAAUACAUGCAAGUCGAGCGAACAGACGAGGAGCUUGCUCCUCUGACGUUAGCGGCGGACGGGUGAGUAACACGUGGAUAACCUACCUAUAAGACUGGGAUAACUUCGGGAAACCGGAGCUAAUACCGGAUAAUAUAUUGAACCGCAUGGUUUAAUAGUGAAAGACGGUUUUGCUGUCACUUAUAGAUGGAUCCGCGCCGCAUUAGCUAGUUGGUAAGGUAACGGCUUACCAAGGCGACGAUGCGUAGCCGACCUGAGAGGGUGAUCGGCCACACUGGAACUGAGACACGGUCCAGACUCCUACGGGAGGCAGCAGUAGGGAAUCUUCCGCAAUGGGCGAAAGCCUGACGGAGCAACGCCGCGUGGGUGAUGAAGGUCUUCGGAUCGUAAAACUCUGUUAUUAGGGAAGAACAAAUGUGUAAGUAACUAUGCACGUCUUGACGGUACCUAAUCAGAAAGCCACGGCUAACUACGUG
RNAcentral lists this ribosomal RNA (497 nucleotides) under uncultured bacterium. RNAcentral's name for it is "partial 16S ribosomal RNA". It matches the Rfam family "Bacterial small subunit ribosomal RNA", at positions 28 to 507 of the family's 1533-position model. The record is from RNAcentral.